This 1417-nucleotide long non-coding RNA is filed under the name Numida meleagris (helmeted guineafowl). RNAcentral's name for it is "lncRNA (ENSNMEG00000006057.1)". Lineage: Eukaryota; Metazoa; Chordata; Aves; Galliformes; Numididae. The record is from RNAcentral.
CUUUCCCAAGGUCUCAAAUGCAGUUUAUUCCUCUUUUUUGACAGUAGAAGCCUAACUAAAUCAAUGUUAGCACUCUCUAGAAUACAUCAUUUAUUGUGAUUUUGUGGCUAAGCCAGAUGAUCACACAUAGCAGCAGAGAGAGGGGCUCACUGUAACAUGUGCUGUCUGAAUGCUGUGUCUUGGACAGUGCUUUAGGGACUUCAGCAGACACCAAAUCCACCACCGUGUAUGUUCAAGUGCCUGCAACCAAGCUAGUGGGCCAGAAUGGUUUUUGCUCCUGCUGCAUAUGUGGGCUGCAGGGUUUCCACGUGAGGGAGCAGCCCUCACCCUGCUCACAGCCUGGCUGUCUGCUGGUGCCCUGCCACCUGUCACUGACUGGGCGGCUGCCAAGAGCUGCUCUCCCAGGCCUGAAGAGGCACACUCAAGAGCCAGGCCUCCAGAGGCCUAGGCAUGACUUGGCAGUGAGUGCUGUCUCAGAAAAUCCCCCAGCUCAGGGAGAGGCAGCAACUGGACAGUGCUGGGGGAGUUCCCAGCUGUACCCCCUCCCCUCCAGGAUUCCCUUCUAUCAGCAGAGGUCCAAAAGUAAUUAUUUGUGGCCUUUAGUAGCACGGGAUUGCUGUAGAUCAGGCUCUGUGCUCCUCUAAACCAUACUUCUUGUUGUGCCCUCAGGUCAGCCAAGGCACUAGAGCUGUUUAGACAGCUUAGAGUAACUUUCGCCUUGCUUGCCACUAGGCUGAAGAUGAGCCCCAUACAUUUGGAGCUUGAGCAACAGAGAUUAAAAAAAUUAAUAAAAUCAGUAGUAUAUGGUCACAGUGUGAUCAUGUUUUCAGAUGUGCACAUUUUAGCUUUCCAUUCAUCUUAUUCAGUGUCUGUGAGAGCAAUAUAUGCUGAUCGAUGUGGUGAGCUCUUAUGACUAAAGUGUCAACACUGAUUAUAAGAGAUUUGGGUAAAUUGCAGUUCCACAACCCAUAUAAGCCCUGGCACAGCUGGACAUACAGUCUUACACCUUCACAUUUCUGUAAGCGACCAGCUCCUGGAACUACAUAUGGCAGAAGACAUCUUUCUCUCUGGAACAUUCUUGCAAGCUCUCACUUGUCAAGUGCAGCAGGAAGGUGUCUUGGUUGGAGGAGAGUAGAGGAGGGAAGGAAUAACAUGCAUUUCUAUGCUUCUCUGAGCCUGGAGCUGCUGGUGCAGGAAGUAGAGCAGCCUUGUUUCUGUUCUCAUUGAAACCACUCAUUAAUAUUCCCCAGGGGACAACUACUCAGCUGGGAGCUUUAUGAAGCAGUACCAUCUCCCAAGGGUCAAUCCCUCGAGGUAGGUGAGGGGAAUAAGAAAAUGGAGGUAAUGUUCUGGCUCUGUUUGCCAGGGUAUUUCUCUGUGCUGGCUGUUCUUGCCUGUUCCUGGAAACAUAAAGGGG